AGAAUCAACGCUGGCGGCGUGCCUAACACAUGCAAGUCGAACGAGAAAGUGGAGCAAUCCAUGAGUACAGUGGCGCACGGGUGAGUAACACGUGACUAACCUACCCUUGAGUGGGGAAUAACCUGGAGAAUCUAGGCUAAUACCGCAUAACACCUACGGGUCAAAGGAGCAAUUCGCUUAAGGAGGGGGUCGCGGCAGAUUAGCUAGUUGGCGGGUAAUGGCCCACAAGGCAGUGAUCUGUA
RNAcentral lists this ribosomal RNA (242 nucleotides) under uncultured bacterium. RNAcentral's name for it is "partial small subunit ribosomal RNA". It matches the Rfam family "Bacterial small subunit ribosomal RNA", at positions 26 to 285 of the family's 1533-position model. The record is from RNAcentral.